Triticum dicoccoides is the source of this 766-nucleotide long non-coding RNA. RefSeq lists it as uncharacterized. The record is from RefSeq and is a predicted model, not a curated record. The transcript has 3 exons. NCBI's taxonomy places the organism in Eukaryota, Viridiplantae, Streptophyta, Magnoliopsida, Poales, Poaceae.
CGUAUAAGUACGAGGCGAGAGCCCCCGCCGCCAACAAUCUACGGAGAUCGGGUUCGUCCACACACUCCCGCCGCCACCACCGCCGCGAACCGGAGAGCGAGGCCGACACCGCCGCCGCGAUGAGGGCCAAGUGGAAGAAGAAGAGGAUGAGGAGGCUCAAGAGGAAGCGCCGAAAGAUGAGGCAGCGAUCCAAGUAGGCGGUAAGCAUCAUCUUGCAUCCAGGCAGCGGAACUCUGAGGGGUGAUGGCAUUGUCUAGUGAUUCUUGAUUUGUUCUGUUGUUUUGGCUGUGGAAGUUGCUUUUACCUGUGUUUGGUCAAAUUUAGUUGUUUAAUACUAGUCUGGCUAUGUUCCAGGACUGAGUUUUAUGUAAUGUGAGGAUUAUAUGUGUUUGUGACCUAAUUUUAUGCACCUAUUAUCCUUGAGGUACUCUGAAAUGUGCCUUUUGGCCCUGCAUUUGUUGUGUCAGUUAUUUUAUCUUUUUGCGGUGUGACAGGUCCUUUUCUUUGCUCCGAGAUGAACAAAUACCAGGAACAUUGCAGAUAUUUGCAGUGGAAGAACAAGAGAAUGACGAGGCUCAAGAGGAAGUGCCAAAAGAUGAGGCAACGAUCAAAGUAGGUGAGCAAUUGCGAAGGUUUGAUUAAGUCUUGGUCAAUUCCUGAUGCCGCGUCCUCUUGAAUCCUGAUGGUGAUUCUGGUUGUGGCAAAUGUGGAUCUUAUGUAAUCACUCAUUAAAUAUCCUGAACUUUAAAUAUAUAAUUUGCCACUA